This 471-nucleotide ribosomal RNA is filed under the name Veillonella parvula. RNAcentral describes it as "bacterial SSU rRNA". It matches the Rfam family "Bacterial small subunit ribosomal RNA", at positions 28 to 472 of the family's 1533-position model. The record is from RNAcentral. Lineage: Bacteria; Bacillati; Bacillota; Negativicutes; Veillonellales; Veillonellaceae.
GACGAACGCUGGCGGCGUGCUUAACACAUGCAAGUCGAACGAAGAGCGACGGAAGCUUGCUUCUAUCAAUCUUAGUGGCGAACGGGUGAGUAACGCGUAAUCAACCUGCCCUUCAGAGGGGGACAACAGUUGGAAACGACUGCUAAUACCGCAUACGAUCUAAUCUCGGCAUCGAGGAUAGAUGAAAGGUGGCCUCUACAUGUAAGCUAUCACUGAAGGAGGGGAUUGCGUCUGAUUAGCUAGUUGGAGGGGUAACGGCCCACCAAGGCGAUGAUCAGUAGCCGGUCUGAGAGGAUGAACGGCCACAUUGGGACUGAGACACGGCCCAGACUCCUACGGGAGGCAGCAGUGGGGAAUCUUCCGCAAUGGACGAAAGUCUGACGGAGCAACGCCGCGUGAGUGAUGACGGCCUUCGGGUUGUAAAGCUCUGUUAAUCGGGACGAAAGGCCUUCUUGCGAAUAGUGAGAAGGA